Molecule: non-coding RNA, 92 nt
Filed under: Arsenophonus endosymbiont of Aleurodicus floccissimus
Lineage: Bacteria; Pseudomonadati; Pseudomonadota; Gammaproteobacteria; Enterobacterales; Morganellaceae
Source: RNAcentral
UUCAAUGGUGGCCUUGUCAGGGCAAUCUUCGGAUUGGCUGGAGACCAUACAGUCCAGUAGUUCCAACCCUGAUAGAUAGCGUCGCCGCCCAU